RNAcentral lists this long non-coding RNA (666 nucleotides) under Equus caballus (horse). Its description in RNAcentral is "lncRNA (ENSECAG00000033551.2)". The record is from RNAcentral. Lineage: Eukaryota; Metazoa; Chordata; Mammalia; Perissodactyla; Equidae.
GAGGCAAGAAAGGAUUCUACCCAGAGUCUCAGAGGGAACAUGGCCCUUUUGAAAACUUGAUUUCAGACGUCUAGCGUCCAGAACUGUGAGAGAAGAAAUUUCUGUUUUUGUAAGCCUCCCCGAUUGUGGUACUUUGCUACGGCAGCCGAAGGAAAUUCAUACAGUACCUACUUGAACAACUUCUUCCAGCAUUUCUCGUACGGACAAAGAUCGUCUUGAAUAAAGAAGGAGAACAUAAUGAGGGAGAGGAAGUCAGUCCCUCCUCUUUUCAUUGAAUGAUAUCCGCCUGAUCUUUCCCAGGAUAUAAGAAAACUGGUGACAUUAAAGAAGAUAUAGAAUGGUAACCCAAGAAAAUAUGAGAAAGAACAGAAAAGCCAAGCAGUGAAACAGAAUAGAGAAAUAAUUAUGCCAGAAAAAAAUAAUCUAUUCGAGGCUCUUCCAAAAAAUUUCUAUUUGAGCUUCCUGAGAACCAAGGGAAAAGAGGAACAAUGUGGUUUAUAGAGCUCUUAUUGGACAAAAAGAGAUGGUCUACGUUUUUUUGUCUUAAGAAACUCAGCCUGAAAACACACGAUUAUCACUGUUUUAAUGAUUUUACUUUUUCCUUUUAUCUGUUUUCUUAGUAUGAGCCUCCCAAGAAGAAUUAAUCAUGUGAAUCUUAAAUAAAAG